Molecule: ribosomal RNA, 500 nt
Filed under: uncultured bacterium
Lineage: Bacteria
Description: bacterial SSU rRNA
Rfam family: Bacterial small subunit ribosomal RNA
Source: RNAcentral
CCUUCGGGUUGUAAAGCUCUUUCAGUCGAGAAGAAAAGGCUGCAGUGAAUAACUGUAGUUUAUGACGGUAUCGACAGAAGAAGCACCGGCUAACUACGUGCCAGCAGCCGCGGUAAUACGUAGGGUGCGAGCGUUAAUCGGAAUUACUGGGCGUAAAGGGUGCGCAGGCGGUUUUGUAAGUCAGAUGUGAAAUCCCCGGGCUUAACCUGGGAAUUGCGUUUGAAACUACAAGACUAGAGUGUGGCAGAGGGAGGUGGAAUUCCAUGUGUAGCAGUGAAAUGCGUAGAGAUAUGGAAGAACAUCGAUGGCGAAGGCAGCCUCCUGGGUUAACACUGACGCUCAUGCACGAAAGCGUGGGGAGCAAACAGGAUUAGAUACCCUGGUAGUCCACGCCCUAAACGAUGUCAACUAGUUGUCGGGCCUUACUAGGCUUGGUAACGAAGCUAACGCGUGAAGUUGACCGCCUGGGGAGUACGGUCGCAAGAUUAAAACUCAAAGGA